AGAACGAACGCUGGCGGCAGGCCUAAUACAUGCAAGUCGAACGCACCUUCGGGUGAGUGGCGGACGGGUGAGUAACACGUGGGAACGUGCCUUUUGGUUCGGAAUAAUCCGGGGAAACCUGGCCUAAUACCGGAUGUGCCCUUCGGGGGAAAGAUUUAUCGCCAUUAGAGCGGCCCGCGUCUGAUUAGCUUGUUGGUGGGGUAAUGGCCCACCAAGGCUACGAUCAGUAGCUGGUCUGAGAGGAUGAUCAGCCACACUGGGACUGAGACACGGCCCCAGACUCCUACGGGAGGCAGCAGUAGGGAAUCUUGCGCAAUGGGCGAAAGCCUGACGCAGCCAUGCCGCGUGAAUGAUGAAGGUCUUAGGAUUGUAAAAUUCUUUCAGCGGGAAGAUAAUGACUGUACCCGCAGAAGAAGCUCCGGCUAACUUCGCGCCAGCAGCCGC
This 444-nucleotide ribosomal RNA is filed under the name uncultured bacterium. Its description in RNAcentral is "SSU rRNA". It matches the Rfam family "Bacterial small subunit ribosomal RNA", at positions 26 to 518 of the family's 1533-position model. The record is from RNAcentral.